UUAAAGAUAGUUUAAGAAAGAACAAUAACUUUGGGAGUUAUAAGCGCCUUUGGGAUCUUUAAA
RNAcentral lists this transfer RNA (63 nucleotides) under Perna canaliculus (greenshell mussel). RNAcentral's name for it is "tRNA-Pro". The record is from RNAcentral. Lineage: Eukaryota; Metazoa; Mollusca; Bivalvia; Mytilida; Mytilidae.